AUACGGAAGGUCCGGGCGUUAUCCGGAUUUAUUGGGUUUAAAGGGAGCGCAGGCGGAGAUGCAAGCGUGACGUCAAAUUUCGGGGCUCAACCCCGUCUCGCGUCGCGAACUGCGUCCCUUGGUUGCGGGAAGGGGAGGCGGAACUCGUGGUGUAGCGGUGAAAUGCAUAGAUAUCACGAAGAACUCCGAUCGCGAAGGCAGGCUUCCGGCCCGUCAACGACGCUCAUGCUCGAAGGUGCUGGUAUCAAACAGGAUUAGAUACCCUGGUAGUCCGCACAGUAAACGAUGGACACCCGCGGUUUGGCCUGUAUGGCUGAGCCGCCAAGCGAAAGCGUUAAGUGUCCCACCUGGGGAGUACGCCGGCAACGGUGAAACUCAAAGGAAUUGACGGGG
RNAcentral lists this ribosomal RNA (393 nucleotides) under uncultured bacterium. RNAcentral's name for it is "partial 16S ribosomal RNA". It matches the Rfam family "Bacterial small subunit ribosomal RNA", at positions 523 to 918 of the family's 1533-position model. The record is from RNAcentral.